RNAcentral lists this ribosomal RNA (305 nucleotides) under uncultured bacterium. RNAcentral's name for it is "bacterial SSU rRNA". It matches the Rfam family "Bacterial small subunit ribosomal RNA", at positions 338 to 657 of the family's 1533-position model. The record is from RNAcentral.
CCUACGGGACGCAGCAGUGGGGAAUAUUGCACAAUGGGGGGAACCCUGAUGCAGCGACGCCGCGUGAGUGAAGAAGUAUUUCGGAUUGUAAACUGCUUUAGACAGGGAAGAAAGAAAUGACGGUACCUGUAGAAUAAGCUCCGGCUAACUACGUGCCAGCAGCCGCGGUAAUACGUAGGGAGCAAGCGUUAUCCGGAUUUAUUGGGUGUAAAGGGUGCGUAGACGGGUAUACAAGUUAGUAGUGAAAUCCCUCGGCUUAACUGAGGAACUGCUACUAAAACUAUAUAUCUUGCGUACUGGAGGGG